RNAcentral lists this ribosomal RNA (405 nucleotides) under Bacillota bacterium. RNAcentral's name for it is "Firmicutes bacterium partial 16S ribosomal RNA". It matches the Rfam family "Bacterial small subunit ribosomal RNA", at positions 355 to 776 of the family's 1533-position model. Lineage: Bacteria; Bacillati; Bacillota. The record is from RNAcentral. RNAcentral also lists the same sequence under 1 other name.
UCGGGAAUAUUGCCCAAUGGACGCAAGUCUGAGGCAGCAACGCCGCGUGCGCGAUGAAGGCCUUCGGGUCGUAAAGCGCUUUUCGGGAGGAUGAGGAAGGACAGUACUCCCGGAAUAAGGAACGGCUAACUACGUGCCAGCAGCCGCGGUAAAACGUAGGUUCCGAGCGUUAUCCGGAUUUACUGGGCGUAAAGCGUGUUCAGGCGGCUCAGCCAGUCGGGCAUGAAAUCUCUCGGCUCAACCGGGAGAGGCUGUCCGAUACUGCUGGGCUUGAGGGCAGGAGAGGGUGGUGGAAUUCCGGGUGUAGUGGUGAAAUGCGUAGAUAUCCGGAGGAACACCAGUGGCGAAAGCGGCCACCUGGUCUGCACCUGACGCUCAAACACGAAAGCUAGGGGAGCGAACGGG